This 412-nucleotide ribosomal RNA is filed under the name uncultured bacterium. RNAcentral's name for it is "bacterial SSU rRNA". It matches the Rfam family "Bacterial small subunit ribosomal RNA", at positions 355 to 776 of the family's 1533-position model. The record is from RNAcentral.
UGGGGAAUAUUGCGCAAUGGGCGAAAGCCUGACGCAGCCACGCCGCGUGAGUGAUGAAGGCCUUCGGGUUGUAAAGCUCUGUCGGGAGGGAAGAAGGGGAAACCCUGACGGUACCUCGCAAGAAAGCACCGGCUAACUCUGUGCCAGCAGCCGCGGUAAUACAGAGGGUGCAAGCGUUGCUCGGAUUUACUGGGCGUAAAGCGUACGCAGACGGUUUGGUAGGUCGGGUGUGAAAGCCCAGGGCUCAACCCUGGAAAUGCACUCGAAACCACCUCACUUGAGUAUAGGAGAGGGAAGCGGAAUUCCUGGUGUAGAGGUGAAAUUCGUAGAUAUCAGGAGGAACACCGGUGGCGAAGGCGGCUUCCUGGCCUAUUACUGACGUUCAGGUACGAAAGCGUGGGUAGCAAACAGG